AGUUCCUGAUGUGAUGUUCAACCCGUCCAUAGUUCAGACGAUUCCUGGAAUGGAGAAGUAUGCAGACAUGAUUCCUUCCGUUCGUGGUCUACCACACAUGGUCAUGGAGAGCAUCAACAAAUGUGAUGUAGAUAUCCGGAGAGAAUUGUACAGUAGCAUACUGGUAAAUAACAAAUUAUGUCAACUCUUAAAU
Molecule: non-coding RNA, 193 nt
Organism: Camelina sativa (false flax)
Lineage: Eukaryota; Viridiplantae; Streptophyta; Magnoliopsida; Brassicales; Brassicaceae
Source: RefSeq, a predicted model, not a curated record